This 21-nucleotide microRNA is filed under the name Schistosoma mansoni. RNAcentral's name for it is "sma-miR-8431-5p". Lineage: Eukaryota; Metazoa; Platyhelminthes; Trematoda; Strigeidida; Schistosomatidae. The record is from miRBase by way of RNAcentral.
GUUCUUAAUGUUGUAUUAGUU